GCCCAAGUGGCGGAAUGGUAGACGCAGCGGAUUCAAAAUCCGCCGCCUUUGCGGGCAUGCCGGUUCGAGUCCGGCCUUGGGUACCA
This 86-nucleotide transfer RNA is filed under the name Roseivivax sp. RNAcentral's name for it is "tRNA-Leu". It matches the Rfam family "tRNA". Rfam says of the family: Transfer RNA (tRNA) molecules are approximately 80 nucleotides in length. The record is from RNAcentral. Lineage: Bacteria; Pseudomonadati; Pseudomonadota; Alphaproteobacteria; Rhodobacterales; Roseobacteraceae.